GAUGAACGCUAGCGGCAGGCCUAAUACAUGCAAGUCGAACGGCCCCGACACUUCGGUGUCGGGGUAGUGGCGCACGGGUGCGUAACGCGUACACAACAUACCCUUUACAGGGGGAUAGCGGCGGGAAACUGCCAGUAAUACCCCAUGUCCUUGCGAGGUGGCAUCAUUUUGCAAAGAAAGUUCAAGCGGUAAAGGAUUGGUGUGCGUCCGAUUAGCUAGUUGGCGGGGUAACGCCCACCAAGGCGACGAUCGGUAGGGGGUGUGAGAGCAUGGCCCCCCCACACGGGUACGUGAGACACGGACCCGGACUCCUACGGGAGGGCAGCAGUAAGGAAUAUUGGACGAAUGGACGGAAGUC
Molecule: ribosomal RNA, 358 nt
Filed under: uncultured bacterium
Lineage: Bacteria
Description: bacterial SSU rRNA
Rfam family: Bacterial small subunit ribosomal RNA
Source: RNAcentral